GGGUUCUGCUAGCGUAUGUGACCUGCGGAAGGAUCAUUA
This 39-nucleotide ribosomal RNA is filed under the name uncultured Cenococcum. RNAcentral describes it as "partial 18S ribosomal RNA". Lineage: Eukaryota; Fungi; Ascomycota; Dothideomycetes; Gloniales; Gloniaceae. The record is from RNAcentral.